Molecule: ribosomal RNA, 206 nt
Filed under: uncultured bacterium
Lineage: Bacteria
Description: partial 16S ribosomal RNA
Rfam family: Bacterial small subunit ribosomal RNA
Source: RNAcentral
UGCGUAGGCGGGUUUCUAAGUCAGAGGUGAAAGCCUGGAGCUCAACUCCAGAACUGCCUUUGAUACUGGAAGUCUUGAGUUCGGGAGAGGUGAGUGGAACUGCGAGUGUAGAGGUGAAAUUCGUAGAUAUUCGCAAGAACACCAGUGGCGAAGGCGGCUCACUGGCCCGAUACUGACGCUGAGGCACGAAAGCUGGGGAGCAAACA